AUUGAACGCUGGCGGCAUGCCUUACACAUGCAAGUCGAACGGCAGCACGGGUGCUUGCACCUGGUGGCGAGUGGCGAACGGGUGAGUAAUACGUCGGAACGUACCUUAUCGUGGGGGAUAACGCAGCGAAAGCUGUGCUAAUACCGCAUAAGCCCUGAGGGGGAAAGCGGGGGAUCGAAAGACCUCGCGCGAUUAGAGCGGCCGAUGCCUGAUUAGCUUGUUGGUGGGGUAAAAGCCCACCAAGGCGACGAUCAGUAGCUGGUCUGAGAGGACGCUCAGCCACACUGGGACUGAGACACGGCCCAGACUCCUACGGGAGGCAGCAGUGGGGAAUUUUGGACAAUGGGGGCAACCCUGAUCCAGCAAUGCCGCGUGAGUGAAGAAGGUCUUCGGGUUGUAAAGCUCUUUUGUCAGGGAAGAAACACCGGCUCUAACACAGUCCGGGAAUGACGGUACCUGAAGAAUAAGCACCGGCUAACUACGUGCCAGCAGCCGCAGUAA
Molecule: ribosomal RNA, 501 nt
Filed under: uncultured bacterium
Lineage: Bacteria
Description: partial 16S ribosomal RNA
Rfam family: Bacterial small subunit ribosomal RNA
Source: RNAcentral